RNAcentral lists this ribosomal RNA (373 nucleotides) under uncultured organism. RNAcentral's name for it is "bacterial SSU rRNA". It matches the Rfam family "Bacterial small subunit ribosomal RNA", at positions 526 to 896 of the family's 1533-position model. The record is from RNAcentral.
CGUAGGGUGCGAGCGUUAAUCGGAAUUACUGGGCGUAAAGCGUGCGCAGGCGGUUUUGUAAGACAGAUGUGAAAUCCCCGGGCUCAACCCUGGGACCUGCAUUUGUGACUGCAAGGCUAGAGUACGGUAGAGGGGGAUGGAAGUUCCGCGUGUAGCAGUGAAAUGCGUAGAUAUGCGGAGGAACACCGAUGGCGAAGGCAAUCCCCUGGACCUGUACUGACGCUCAUGCACGAAAGCGUGGGGAGCGAAACAGGAUUAGAUACCCUGGUAGUCCACGCCCUAAACGAUGUCAACUGGUUGUUGGGUCUUUACUGUACUCAGUACGAAGCUAACGCGUGAAGUUGACCGCCUGGGGAGUACGGCCGCAAGGUUG